GUGCUUGCCUUGGUAGCACAUAUACUAAAACUGGAAUGAUACAGAAAAGAUUAGCAUGGCCCCCUGAACAAGGAUGACAUUCAAAUUCAUGAAGAUUCCAUUUUUUAA
Molecule: small nuclear RNA, 108 nt
Filed under: Cercocebus atys (sooty mangabey)
Lineage: Eukaryota; Metazoa; Chordata; Mammalia; Primates; Cercopithecidae
Source: RNAcentral